This 2925-nucleotide ribosomal RNA is filed under the name Escherichia coli. RNAcentral describes it as "23S ribosomal RNA". It matches the Rfam family "Bacterial large subunit ribosomal RNA". Lineage: Bacteria; Pseudomonadati; Pseudomonadota; Gammaproteobacteria; Enterobacterales; Enterobacteriaceae. The record is from RNAcentral.
GGGUUGUGAGGUUAAGCGACUAAGCGUACACGGUGGAUGCCCUGGCAGUCAGAGGCGAUGAAGGACGUGCUAAUCUGCGAUAAGCGUCGGUAAGGUGAUAUGAACCGUUAUAACCGGCGAUUUCCGAAUGGGGAAACCCAGUGUGUUUCGACACACUAUCAUUAACUGAAUCCAUAGGUUAAUGAGGCGAACCGGGGGAACUGAAACAUCUAAGUACCCCGAGGAAAAGAAAUCAACCGAGAUUCCCCCAGUAGCGGCGAGCGAACGGGGAGCAGCCCAGAGCCUGAAUCAGUGUGUGUGUUAGUGGAAGCGUCUGGAAAGGCGCGCGAUACAGGGUGACAGCCCCGUACACAAAAAUGCACAUGCUGUGAGCUCGAUGAGUAGGGCGGGACACGUGGUAUCCUGUCUGAAUAUGGGGGGACCAUCCUCCAAGGCUAAAUACUCCUGACUGACCGAUAGUGAACCAGUACCGUGAGGGAAAGGCGAAAAGAACCCCGGCGAGGGGAGUGAAAAAGAACCUGAAACCGUGUACGUACAAGCAGUGGGAGCACGCUUAGGCGUGUGACUGCGUACCUUUUGUAUAAUGGGUCAGCGACUUAUAUUCUGUAGCAAGGUUAACCGAAUAGGGGAGCCGAAGGGAAACCGAGUCUUAACUGGGCGUUAAGUUGCAGGGUAUAGACCCGAAACCCGGUGAUCUAGCCAUGGGCAGGUUGAAGGUUGGGUAACACUAACUGGAGGACCGAACCGACUAAUGUUGAAAAAUUAGCGGAUGACUUGUGGCUGGGGGUGAAAGGCCAAUCAAACCGGGAGAUAGCUGGUUCUCCCCGAAAGCUAUUUAGGUAGCGCCUCGUGAAUUCAUCUCCGGGGGUAGAGCACUGUUUCGGCAAGGGGGUCAUCCCGACUUACCAACCCGAUGCAAACUGCGAAUACCGGAGAAUGUUAUCACGGGAGACACACGGCGGGUGCUAACGUCCGUCGUGAAGAGGGAAACAACCCAGACCGCCAGCUAAGGUCCCAAAGUCAUGGUUAAGUGGGAAACGAUGUGGGAAGGCCCAGACAGCCAGGAUGUUGGCUUAGAAGCAGCCAUCAUUUAAAGAAAGCGUAAUAGCUCACUGGUCGAGUCGGCCUGCGCGGAAGAUGUAACGGGGCUAAACCAUGCACCGAAGCUGCGGCAGCGACGCUGAUGCGUUGUUGGGUAGGGGAGCGUUCUGUAAGCCUGCGAAGGUGUGCUGUGAGGCAUGCUGGAGGUAUCAGAAGUGCGAAUGCUGACAUAAGUAACGAUAAAGCGGGUGAAAAGCCCGCUCGCCGGAAGACCAAGGGUUCCUGUCCAACGUUAAUCGGGGCAGGGUGAGUCGACCCCUAAGGCGAGGCCGAAAGGCGUAGUCGAUGGGAAACAGGUUAAUAUUCCUGUACUUGGUGUUACUGCGAAGGGGGGACGGAGAAGGCUAUGUUGGCCGGGCGACGGUUGUCCCGGUUUAAGCGUGUAGGCUGGUUUUCCAGGCAAAUCCGGAAAAUCAAGGCUGAGGCGUGAUGACGAGGCACUACGGUGCUGAAGCAACAAAUGCCCUGCUUCCAGGAAAAGCCUCUAAGCAUCAGGUAACAUCAAAUCGUACCCCAAACCGACACAGGUGGUCAGGUAGAGAAUACCAAGGCGCUUGAGAGAACUCGGGUGAAGGAACUAGGCAAAAUGGUGCCGUAACUUCGGGAGAAGGCACGCUGAUAUGUAGGUGAAGUCCCUUGCGGAUGGAGCUGAAAUCAGUCGAAGAUACCAGCUGGCUGCAACUGUUUAUUAAAAACACAGCACUGUGCAAACACGAAAGUGGACGUAUACGGUGUGACGCCUGCCCGGUGCCGGAAGGUUAAUUGAUGGGGUCAGCGCAAGCGAAGCUCUUGAUCGAAGCCCCGGUAAACGGCGGCCGUAACUAUAACGGUCCUAAGGUAGCGAAAUUCCUUGUCGGGUAAGUUCCGACCUGCACGAAUGGCGUAAUGAUGGCCAGGCUGUCUCCACCCGAGACUCAGUGAAAUUGAACUCGCUGUGAAGAUGCAGUGUACCCGCGGCAAGACGGAAAGACCCCGUGAACCUUUACUAUAGCUUGACACUGAACAUUGAGCCUUGAUGUGUAGGAUAGGUGGGAGGCUUUGAAGUGUGGACGCCAGUCUGCAUGGAGCCGACCUUGAAAUACCACCCUUUAAUGUUUGAUGUUCUAACGUGGACCCGUGAUCCGGGUUGCGGACAGUGUCUGGUGGGUAGUUUGACUGGGGCGGUCUCCUCCUAAAGAGUAACGGAGGAGCACGAAGGUUGGCUAAUCCUGGUCGGACAUCAGGAGGUUAGUGCAAUGGCAUAAGCCAGCUUGACUGCGAGCGUGACGGCGCGAGCAGGUGCGAAAGCAGGUCAUAGUGAUCCGGUGGUUCUGAAUGGAAGGGCCAUCGCUCAACGGAUAAAAGGUACUCCGGGGAUAACAGGCUGAUACCGCCCAAGAGUUCAUAUCGACGGCGGUGUUUGGCACCUCGAUGUCGGCUCAUCACAUCCUGGGGCUGAAGUAGGUCCCAAGGGUAUGGCUGUUCGCCAUUUAAAGUGGUACGCGAGCUGGGUUUAGAACGUCGUGAGACAGUUCGGUCCCUAUCUGCCGUGGGCGCUGGAGAACUGAGGGGGGCUGCUCCUAGUACGAGAGGACCGGAGUGGACGCAUCACUGGUGUUCGGGUUGUCAUGCCAAUGGCACUGCCCGGUAGCUAAAUGCGGAAGAGAUAAGUGCUGAAAGCAUCUAAGCACGAAACUUGCCCCGAGAUGAGUUCUCCCUGACUCCUUGAGAGUCCUGAAGGAACGUUGAAGACGACGACGUUGAUAGGCCGGGUGUGUAAGCGCAGCGAUGCGUUGAGCUAACCGGUACUAAUGAACCGUGAGGCUUAACCUUACAACGCCGAAG